UGUUCCUGUUAAUGUGCUUGAUCUGAGACGUGCCUGUCUCCUAGCACCGCUUUGGGAUCCCAAAUAAACUUUGUUUGCUUCUCCCCCUGGUGUGUUUAUUGACGCGAAGCACACCGGGCAACGAACCCGCUGUUGCUUUGCCUCGGGCACUCUGUGCUGGCAACAGUUUUGGCGCCCAACGUGGGGCUCGAGGCUGAAAUUUAGCCUUGCCCGGACCCCUCUCGGAGGUCGACAGAUUGCGGCAACGACCGACGCCCAGCGCGCACCGGUGACUUUACCGGGGGCCUCGGCGGAAACGUGGUUUCGUCGACCCCAGAGGGCACAACGGUGCAACGCGCUCGAGUAGUGGAGAAGCAGCUGCGGGCGACGGUGGGGAACCGGUCCCAUGGAUAGGGCGACGGUGCAGAACCGGACCCUUGGAUAAGGUAUACCAGAGAUUUGCAGCCUCUCCCGCUGGAUGCCCCUGUCCACUCCUUGCAGCCAGGCGAUUCCGUUCUCGUUCGGACCUGGAAGGACAAGCCUCUCCAAGAGAAGUGGAAGGGACCCCACACCGUCCUGCUGGUCUCCCACACAGCAGCAAAGGUCAAGGGACACAAGAACUGGAUUCAUCACUCCUGUCUGAAGGCAGUGCCCGCUUUUGAACGGUGGACCGUCCAGCCUACGGAAAAGGACUACCAGCGAUGACCUGGGACUUAAACUGUUAUUCAAAAGACAAUAAGGCCUGCUGGGAAUGCCCUGUGGUCUCUUUGGACAGUUGCAGCGCACUCCCCGUGAAAACUCUAAGCGUUGGUUGUGUUUACUCUCACAGGGCCGGCCUAACCUGGUGGCCUGGUCCUUUUGUUUUUAAUCUGCCUACUAUUGGUAAUUGAUAUUUUGAGGGGUUUUGGGGGAAUUGUAAUUGUUAGGCCCUAGGGUCACCUGCCCAGCAUGAGUUCAAGUCCAGGGUCUGCCACAGUGGUACUCUUUGCCAUAGGGACACUCCUUUCGUUACCUCCCGUUUCCCCCAGGCACAUGUGGGAUGGAAAGGGAUCCCUACUAACUUGGAAACAAACACAUAUGAGUCCUUGAAGGUUUGCUUUGCCCAAGAGUUUAACCUCUCUAACUGCUGAGUA
Long non-coding RNA from Malaclemys terrapin pileata, 1112 nucleotides. RefSeq lists it as uncharacterized. The record is from RefSeq and is a predicted model, not a curated record. The transcript has 2 exons. Lineage: Eukaryota; Metazoa; Chordata; Testudines; Emydidae.